UGCUGCAUGGCUGUCGGUCAGCUCGUGUCGUGAGAUGUUGGGUUAAGUCCCGCAACGAGCGCAACCCUUGUCAUUAGUUGCUACAUUCAGUUGGGCACUCUAAUGAGACUGCCGGUGACAAACCGGAGGAAGGUAGGGAUGACGUCAAGUCCUCAUGGCCCUUAUAGGUGGGGCUACACACGUCAUACAAUGGAUGGUACAAAGGGUCGCCAACCCGCGAGGGGGAGCCAAUCCCAUAAAGCCAUUCGUAGUCCGGAUCGCAGUCUGCAACUCGACUGCGUGAAGUCGGAAUCGCUAGUAAUCGUGGAUCAGAAUGUCACGGUGAAUACGUUCCCGGGUCUU
This 342-nucleotide ribosomal RNA is filed under the name uncultured Polaromonas sp. RNAcentral's name for it is "bacterial SSU rRNA". It matches the Rfam family "Bacterial small subunit ribosomal RNA", at positions 1039 to 1382 of the family's 1533-position model. Lineage: Bacteria; Pseudomonadati; Pseudomonadota; Betaproteobacteria; Burkholderiales; Comamonadaceae. The record is from RNAcentral.